This 705-nucleotide long non-coding RNA is filed under the name Coturnix japonica (Japanese quail). Its description in RNAcentral is "lncRNA (ENSCJPG00005002623.1)". Lineage: Eukaryota; Metazoa; Chordata; Aves; Galliformes; Phasianidae. The record is from RNAcentral.
CAUUAAGGUCUGGCGUUCUCUCAUUGUGGGCUGGGGUGCUUCAUUAAGGUUGGGGUCUCUCAUUAUGGGCUGGGGUCUCUCAUUAAGGUCUGGGGUCUCUUCAUCUCUGGGCUGGGGUUCAUAAGGUCUGGGGUCUUGCAUUAUGAAUCUGGGUCUCUUCAUUAGUCUGGGGUCUCUCAAUUAAGGUCGGGGUCUCUCAUUACGGUCUGGGGUCUCUCAUUAUGGGUCUGGGUCUGCUCAUUAAAGCGUCUGGGGUCUCUCAUUAAUGGCUGGGGGUCUCCUCAUUAAGGUCUGGGGUCCUCUCAUUAUGGGCUGGGGUCUCAUUAAGGCUUGGGGUCUCUCAUUAAGGUCUGGGGUCUUCAUUAAGGUCUGGGGUCUCAUUACGGUCUGGGUCUCUCAUUAUGGUCUGGGGUCUCUCAUUAAGGUCUGGGGUCUCUCAUUAUGGGCUGGGGUCUCAUUAAGGUCUGGGGUCUCAUUAAGGUCUGGGGGUCUCUCAUUAAGGUCUGGGGGGUCUCAUUAAGGUCUGGGGUCUCUCAUUAAGGUCUGGGGUCUCUCAUUAUGGGCUGGGGUCUCUCAUUAAGGUCUGGGGUCUCUCAUUAUGGGCUGGGGUCUCAUUAUCGGUUCUGGUGGUCUCUCCCUCUAUAGCUCCCCUAUGGGCCUAGCCCGCGCCAUAACUAGGCCGCAAUCCGCCCCCCGCUCCCCUUU